AAGAUAUGAUUCUAAAGUCUUUGGCCAAAGCAAAUGAAUAUGACUUAGGAAGUUUGUUCCAAAUCAUAUUCAAAGGAAUCAUACAGAGAAGUAUCGCAUUGGAUAGUAGACAUGAAACAAACUAUCAUUCAAACAAUGUGAUUAAGAGUAUUGUAUUAGAGAAUGACCGUAUUGCAUUGUAGUUGUAACUGGAUAGGUUCUCCAACCAAUUCUACUUAGCUUGGGUAACCAUGACAUACUGCUAGGUGUCAUUCAUGGUUUGUGGAAGCCCUAAUGAUUAGGCAACACUAAUCAUAAAAGGGAGAAUUGAAAUGUGGUUUCAAUUCACAAUCGAUCGUUAAGAGUAACAAUCACCCACUACCUCGCUAAUUGGAACCUAAUGGAUCGUACACCGAGUAAGGGUGAUAGUGAAGAAAUUAAAUGAAAUAGAUAUGCAAUUAAAUGGUUUAAUUGAAGAAUGGUCAAGAUUAAUUAAUUAGUUAAUUAAUUUUACGAAAGGUUCGUAUUGGGCUUAUAUGUUGGUUUUGGGUUUCGGGGCCCAAAAGCGUUUUGGUCCAAAAGGCCCAUUAUGUUUAAGUUGUAUGACAACUAAAACAAAAUGGGCAAAUAGCCCAAUAACAUUAAUAUGGCCGGCCAUUAAGGUGAAUGGGCAAGCUUGGAUUAAUUACAAGUUUGCCACUCACUUGAAAUGAAGUAUAAAAGGAACUUUAUAGCUUUAUUUCUCAUUAGGGUUUUUCUUGGUGAAAUGAGGUGAAACACUUUCUCUCUAUUUCUCUAAAGAGGCCGGCCACUUAGGGAGAUUAAUCUAGCAAUCUCUUCUUCCCUAAGUCAUCCAUUUCAUCUUCACACUUAACCCUUGGUGUGGAGACUUAGAGACACCAAAUCUUUGGUGUUUUUGGAGAUCAUUUCCUUACAUUCUCAAAGUCCAAAGGAGCACAAAAGGAGAAGGAAAUCACAAGCAAUAUCCAAGGAGCUAGGAGGUGACUUGAAGGCCCUCCACUUGAGUGAAUCCCUUGUGUAAACAAGGAUGAGCUUCAAGGGUAAAGAAACUCUAAAUCUUUACUACUCUUUAAUGUUGUUAAAGAGUUUAUUGGUUCACCAUAUACUAGGCUUUGAAAGUCAUGGGUUUUAUGAUGAUCACGUCGAAUCCUUAUGAAAAUGAAUCCAGAACAAAAUCGCGCUAA
RNAcentral lists this long non-coding RNA (1184 nucleotides) under Malus domestica (apple). RNAcentral's name for it is "long non-coding RNA (MDOM_LNC003649)". Lineage: Eukaryota; Viridiplantae; Streptophyta; Magnoliopsida; Rosales; Rosaceae. The record is from RNAcentral.